CUUCGACCACGCGGGCCCAAGCCCUCACACGACACCAGAGGUGAACGACGUCAUCAGAGGCCAGCUCUUCUCCUCUUCCCUGUGUGCGGCCAAGCCUUCUUCUUCCCUGCGUGAGACACUUGAUUUUUCUCAAGUUAGGUCAGAACAAGAUGCUGCGCUUCUAGAAGAUGCUAGACAAGCUACCAAGUCAGGAGAAAAGAUGAACAGAGAACAGAGAAGCUUACCCUGUUUUGGACGAACUGGGUAGGAAUGUAAGCUCACGAAGUCGUUGCAUUCAGCCUCUCGAAGCCGUCGCAGCCCAACCUUGAUUUUUUCCCUUGCAUCUCCCGUUGCUAUCGUCGUCACCUCCCAAUAAACCCUUGGUCGGACCUCAUCUCUAUAUCGUCGUCAAAUAAUAUCAUUUGUUUCAGAUUGGGGCUUAGGGCUUCAUUUUUUUCUUAGCACACAUAAAGAAAAGAAGGAGGCUCGACGGGCUUCUCCAUUUCAAACCUAGCUAGGCAGCGUGGAGGUGCAGGUACAGUGGCAUAGUGAAUAAUUGGGUCAAUGGUUGACGUGGCUCUCAAGUUGUGGGAGUGAUUGCUGCUAAUUUAAGAAGUGGUUUUCAACUUUGAGGUAAAGUGUCUUCAGUCUGUAUUUUUUGUUUUACUGAUAUUACUAUACCUUUCUAAAUCUAAUUAAUAUUACAGAGAGAA
Molecule: long non-coding RNA, 692 nt
Organism: Humulus lupulus (European hop)
Lineage: Eukaryota; Viridiplantae; Streptophyta; Magnoliopsida; Rosales; Cannabaceae
Exons: 4
Source: RefSeq, a predicted model, not a curated record